GACGAACGCUGGCGGCGUGCUUAACACAUGCAAGUCGAACGGAAAGGCCCCCACUUUUUUGGUGGGGGUGCUCGAGUGGCGAACGGGUGAGUAACACGUGGGUGAUCUGCCCUGUACUUCGGGAUAAGCUUGGGAAACUGGGUCUAAUACCGGAUAGGAUCAUGGUUUAGUGUCUCAUGGUGGAAAAAUUAUUGUUUUGGUGCAGGAUGAGCUCGCGGCCUAUCAGCUUGUUGGUGGGGUAAUGGCCUACCAAGGCGUCGACGGGUAGCCGGCCUGAGAGGGUGGACGGCUGCGUUGGGACUGAGAUACGGCGCAGACUACUACGGGAGGCAGCAGUGGGGGAUAUUGCACAAUGGGAGCAAGCCUGAUGCAGCGGCGCCGCGUGGGAGAUAACGGCCCUCGGGUUGUAAACUCCUUUCGUUAGGGACGAAGCCGCACCUUUUUUGGGUGUGGUGACGGUACCUUUGUUAAGAAGCACCGGCUAACUACGUG
This 492-nucleotide ribosomal RNA is filed under the name uncultured bacterium. Its description in RNAcentral is "partial 16S ribosomal RNA". It matches the Rfam family "Bacterial small subunit ribosomal RNA", at positions 28 to 507 of the family's 1533-position model. The record is from RNAcentral.